Molecule: ribosomal RNA, 701 nt
Filed under: uncultured bacterium
Lineage: Bacteria
Description: bacterial SSU rRNA
Rfam family: Bacterial small subunit ribosomal RNA
Source: RNAcentral
CGGCAGCACAGUAAGAGCUUGCUCUUAUGGGUGGCGAGUGGCGGACGGGUGAGGAAUACAUCGGAAUCUACCUUUUCGUGGGGGAUAACGUAGGGAAACUUACGCUAAUACCGCAUACGACCUUCGGGUGGAAGCAGGGGACCUUCGGGCCUUGCGCGGAUAGAUGAGCCGAUGUCGGAUUAGCUAGUUGGCGGGGUAAAGGCCCACCAAGGCGACGAUCCGUAGCUGGUCUGAGAGGAUGAUCAGCCACACUGGAACUGAGACACGGUCCAGACUCCUACGGGAGGCAGCAGUGGGGAAUAUUGGACAAUGGGCGCAAGCCUGAUCCAGCCAUACCGCGUGGGUGAAGAAGGCCUUCGGGUUGUAAAGCCCUUUUGUUGGGAAAGAAAAGCAGUCGGCUAAUACCCGGUUGUUCUGACGGUACCCAAAGAAUAAGCACCGGCUAACUUCGUGCCAGCAGCCGCGGCAAUACGAAGGGUGCAAGCGUUACUCGGAAUUACUGGGCGUAAAGCGUGCGUAGGUGGUUGUUUAAGUCUGUUGUGAAAGCCCUGGGCUCAACCUGGGAAUUGCAGUGGAUACUGGGCGACUAGAGUGUGGUAGAGGGUAGUGGAAUUCCCGGUGUAGCAGUGAAAUGCGUAGAGAUCGGGAGGAACAUCCAUGGCGAAGGCAGCUACCUGGACCAACACUGACACUGAGGCACG